GUCCACGCCCUAAACGAUGUCAACUGGUUGUCGGGGAAGCAAUUCCUUGGUAACGAAGCUAACGCGUGAAGUUGACCGCCUGGGGAGUACGGCCGCAAGGUUAAAACUCAAAGGAAUUGACGGGGACCCGCACAAGCGGUGGAUUAUGUGGAUUAAUUCGAUGCAACGCGAAAAACCUUACCUACCCUUGACAUGUACGGAACCCCGCAGAGAUGCGGGGGUGCCCGAAAGGGAGCCGUAACACAGGUGCUGCAUGGCUGUCGU
Molecule: ribosomal RNA, 264 nt
Filed under: uncultured bacterium
Lineage: Bacteria
Description: partial 16S ribosomal RNA
Rfam family: Bacterial small subunit ribosomal RNA
Source: RNAcentral